CCUACGGGGGGCAGCAGUGAGGAAUAUUGGUCAAUGGGCGCGAGCCUGAUCCAGCCAAGUAGCGUGAAGGAUGACUGCCCUACGGGUUGUAAACUUCUUUUAUAAAGGAAUAAAGUGAGGCACGUGUGCCUUUUUGUAUGUACUUUAUGAAUAAGGAUCGGCUAACUCCGUGCCAGCAGCCGCGGUAAUACGGAGGAUCCGAGCGUUAUCCGGAUUUAUUGGGUUUAAAGGGAGCGUAGAUGGGUUGUUAAGUCAGUUGUGAAAGUUUGCGGCUCAACCGUAAAAUUGCAAUUGAUACUGGCAGUCUUGAGUACAGUUGAGGUAGGCGGAAUUCGUGGUGUAGCGGUGAAAUGCUUAGAUAUCACGAAGAACUCCGAUUGCGAAGGCAGCUUACUAAACUGCCACUGACAUUGAUGCUCGAAAGUGUGGGUAUCAAACAGGAUUAGAUACCCUAGUAGUC
Molecule: ribosomal RNA, 460 nt
Filed under: uncultured bacterium
Lineage: Bacteria
Description: partial 16S ribosomal RNA
Rfam family: Bacterial small subunit ribosomal RNA
Source: RNAcentral